Molecule: ribosomal RNA, 466 nt
Filed under: uncultured bacterium
Lineage: Bacteria
Description: partial 16S ribosomal RNA
Rfam family: Bacterial small subunit ribosomal RNA
Source: RNAcentral
GAUGAACGCUGGCGGCGUGCUUAACACAUGCAAGUCGAACGGAAAGGCUCCUGCUUGCAGGGGUACUCGAGUGGCGAACGGGUGAGUAACACGUGGGUGAUCUGCCCUGCACUUCGGGAUAAGCCUGGGAAACUGGGUCUAAUACCGGAUAGGACGAUGGUUUGGAUGCCAUUGUGGAAAGUUUUUUCGGUGUGGGAUGAGCUCGCGGCCUAUCAGCUUGUUGGUGGGGUAAUGGCCUACCAAGGCGUCGACGGGUAGCCGGCCCGAGAGGGUGUACGGCCACAUUGGGACUGAGAUACGGCCCAGACUCCUACGGGAGGCAGCAGUGGGGAAUAUUGCACAAUGGGCGCAAGCCUGAUGCAGCGACGCCGCGUGGGGGAUGACGGCCUUCGGGUUGUAAACUCCUUUCGCUAGGGACGAAGCGCAAGUGACGGUACCUGGAGAAGAAGCACCGGCUAACUACGUG